GCUAGGAUUCAAGUGGAAAGGAAAACGAACAAGGGAAACGAAUAGGGUUAAACUCAGAUUUUGCUAAGCAACUCAGGAAAAGGUAAGAACAAA
Molecule: long non-coding RNA, 93 nt
Organism: Morus notabilis
Lineage: Eukaryota; Viridiplantae; Streptophyta; Magnoliopsida; Rosales; Moraceae
Exons: 3
Source: RefSeq, a predicted model, not a curated record